Molecule: ribosomal RNA, 469 nt
Filed under: uncultured bacterium
Lineage: Bacteria
Description: partial 16S ribosomal RNA
Rfam family: Bacterial small subunit ribosomal RNA
Source: RNAcentral
UGGGGAAUUUUGGACAAUGGGCGCAAGCCUGAUCCAGCCAUGCCGCGUGCGGGAAGAAGGCCUUCGGGUUGUAAAUCGCUUUGUCNGGGAAGAAAUCUUCUGAGUUAAUACCUCGGGAGGAUGACGGUACCUGAAGAAUAAGCACGGCUAACUACGUGCCAGCAGCCGCGGUAAUACGUAGGGUGCAAGCGUUAAUCGGAAUUACUGGGCGUAAAGCGUGCGCAGGCGGUUUUGUAAGACAGAGGUGAAAUCCCCGGGCUCAACCUGGGAACUGCCUUUGUGACUGCAAGGCUUGAGUGCGGCAGAGGGGGAUGGAAUUCCGCGUGUAGCAGUGAAAUGCGUAGAUAUGCGGAGGAACACCGAUGGCGAAGCAAUCCCCUGGGCCUGCACUGACGCUCAUGCACGAAAGCGUGGGGAGCAAACAGGAUUAGAUACCCUGGUAGUCCACGCCCUAAACGAUNUCAACUGG